Molecule: ribosomal RNA, 253 nt
Filed under: uncultured bacterium
Lineage: Bacteria
Description: partial 16S ribosomal RNA
Rfam family: Bacterial small subunit ribosomal RNA
Source: RNAcentral
UACGUAGGGGGCGAGCGUUAUCCGGAAUUACUGGGCGUGAAGCGCACGCAGGCGGUUCGCCAAGUUUGGAGUGACAGUUGUCGGCUCAACCGACAAAGGACUUCAAAAACUGGUGAACUUGAGGACGAGAGAGGAACAUGGAACUCCAGGUGUAGUAGUGAAAUGCGUAGAUAUCUGGAAGAACACCAAUGGCGAAGGCAAUGUUCUGGCUCGUUUCUGACGCUCAGGUGCGAAAGCCAGGGGAGCGAACGGG